RNAcentral lists this ribosomal RNA (464 nucleotides) under uncultured bacterium. RNAcentral describes it as "partial 16S ribosomal RNA". It matches the Rfam family "Bacterial small subunit ribosomal RNA", at positions 338 to 795 of the family's 1533-position model. The record is from RNAcentral.
CCUACGGGAGGCUGCAGUAGGGAAUUUUCGUCAAUGGGCGCAAGCCUGAACGAGCAAUGCCGCGUGAACGAGGAAGGUCUUCGGAUCGUAAAGUUCUGUUGAAGGGGAAAAAGAGCGGAGAGAGGAAAUGAACUCCGAUUGAUAUUACCCUUCGAGGAAGUCACGGCUAACUACGUGCAAGCAGCCGCGGUAAUACGUAGGUGGCGAGAGUUAUCCGGAAUGAUUGGUGGCGAAGGGUGCGUAGGCGGCCGUCUAAGUCUGAGGGGAAAGGUACCGGCUCAACCGGUACAGGCUCUGGAAACUGGCGGGCUAGAGUGCAGGAGAGGGCGGUGGAACUCCAUGUGUAGCGGUAAAAUGCGUAGAUAUAUGGAAGAACACCAGUUGCGAAGGCGGCCGCCUGGCCUGUUACUGACGCUGAUGCACGAAAGCGUGGGGAGCAAAUAGGAUUAGAUACCCUUGUAGUC